This 329-nucleotide unclassified non-coding RNA is filed under the name soil metagenome. RNAcentral describes it as "partial contains 5.8S ribosomal RNA, internal transcribed spacer 2, and large subunit ribosomal RNA". The stretch from base 1 to 120 matches the Rfam family "5.8S ribosomal RNA", at positions 35 to 154 of the family's 154-position model. The record is from RNAcentral.
GAUGAAGAACGUAGCGAAAUGCGAUAAGUAAUGUGAAUUGCAGAAUUCAGUGAAUCAUCGAAUCUUUGAACGCACAUUGCGCCCCUUGGUAUUCCGAGGGGCAUGCCUAUUCGAGCGUCAUUAUAACCCCUCAAGCUCAGCUUGGUGUUGGGGCCUGCUGCACUGGCAGCCCUUAAAAUCAGUGGCGGCGCCAUCUGGCUCUAAGCGUAGUAAUUCUUCUCGCUAUGGAGUCCUGGUGGAUGCUUGCCAUCAACCCCCAAUUUUUCUAUGGUUGACCUCGGAUCAGGUAGGGAUACCCGCUGAACUUAAGCAUAUCAAUAAGCGGAGGA